Molecule: unclassified non-coding RNA, 2248 nt
Filed under: Hevea brasiliensis (rubber tree)
Lineage: Eukaryota; Viridiplantae; Streptophyta; Magnoliopsida; Malpighiales; Euphorbiaceae
Source: RNAcentral
CUGAAUGGAAGCUCCAUUUUAGUUGACAAAGCUCAGUAUGUGUAAAGUCUUCGAGGCUUAUCCAUCGGACGGCGUCUUUCUUAUCUAAGGAUUCACUCAGAUUAUACUUCCAUUUCGUUGUAACCCAGAAACAAUUACCUCCAUGAUCAAGUGAAUUUCUGUCUCUUACUUGGCCUCGCUUGAAGCUCCAAAUGGAGAUUAGAUUGUGGUUAUUCUCUGUGUUCCUGUUUAUGGGUACUGCAAUUUCAUGGGUGGAAUCCAAGUACAUGGUUUAUAAUACUUCACAAGGCAUAGUUCCUGAUAAGCUCAAUGUUCACUUGGCUGCUCACACCCACGAUGAUGUUGGGUGGCUGAAGACUGUUGAUCAGUAUUAUGUUGGCUCCAACAAUUCAAUCCAAGGUGCUUGUGUGAGAAAUGUAUUGGAUUCUCUUAUUCCUGCACUGUUGGCUGACAAGAAUCGCAAAUUUAUUUAUGUUGAGAUGGCAUUUUUCCAACGGUGGUGGAGAGAUCAGAGUGAGGCUAUGCAGCAAAUUGUCAAGCAACUUGUGAGCUCGGGUCAGCUGGAAUUCAUAAAUGGGGGUAUUUGCAUGCACGAUGAGGCAGUGACUCAUUAUAUUGACAUGAUUGAUCAGACAACUCUUGGGCAUCAAUUUAUCAAAAAGGAAUUUGGUGUGACUCCAAGAAUUGGUUGGCAGAUAGACCCAUUUGGCCAUUCUGCAGUGCAGGCUUACUUGUUGGGAACUGAAGUUGGAUUUGAUUCUCUUUUCUUUGGCCGGAUAGAUUACCAAGACAGGGCUAAGCGUAAAAGUGAGAAGAGUCUUGAAGUUGUCUGGCAGGGUUCUGACAGUCUUGGUUCAUCUGCACAGGUGAACAGUAUUGAUUUUCUUAGCUUAAGCAGCCAUGCUAGGGGAAUUAUUAUCCUUGCUAAGUUUGAAUUUUUGUAUUACAUUGUGGAAUAUUUUUGUCUUCUGUUUCUUUAUUGUGGUUGUAUUGUUGUGGAGACAAAUCUUUCAUGUCACUCUUAGCUUCUUCAUCGCUGUAGAUUUUUGCCGGUGCAUUCCCAGAAAACUAUGAGCCUCCUCCUGGUGGUUUCUACUUUGAAGUCAAUGAUCCAUCCCCUAUUGUUCAAGAUGACAUGAAUUUGUUUGAUUACAAUGUCCCAGACCGGGUCAAUGACUUUGUUGCUGCUGCAAUUUCACAGGCUAAUAUAACUCGAACAAAUCAUAUCAUGUGGACCAUGGGAACAGAUUUUAAGUAUCAGUAUGCAGAGACUUGGUUUCGAGAGAUGGACAAACUGAUCCAUUAUGUUAACAUGGAUGGACGGGUCAAUGCUCUCUAUUCUACCCCAUCCAUAUAUACUGAUGCAAAACAUGCUACAAAUGAAUCCUGGCCAGCAAAGACUGGUGACUUCUUCCCGUAUGCAGAUCGUGCAAAUGCUUACUGGACAGGAUACUUUACAAGUAGACCAGCCUUGAAACGCUAUGUUAGGAUGAUGAGUGGCUAUUACUUGGCUGCAAGGCAACUAGAGUUUUUAAGUGGGAGAAGUAAUACAGGGCCAAACACAGACUCAUUGGCAGAUGCUUUGGCAAUUGCUCAGCAUCAUGAUGCAGUUACUGGUACAGAAAAGCAGCAUGUGGCUAAUGAUUAUGCAAAGCGACUGUCAAUAGGCUACACAGAGGCCGAAAAAUUAGUUGCCUCUUCACUUGCUUGCUUGGCUGAGUCAACAUCACAUAAUGGAUGUCAGAGUCCAGCUAUAAAAUUUCAACAGGCGAAAAUUAUAAAUCUCUGAGCUUGAAUAGUCUACAUUUCCAUUGUUUUCUAAGAAGAAUGAAUAAUUCUGAACCCCUUUUCAUCAUAAGCUUCUUUCUUAAAAAUAUAUGGUACAUUGGACACAUUUUAUGUAAUAUUUAUUUUGGUAUCUACAAUAUUGAACUCUUUUAUGUGGUUACGGUGAUGAUAAAUGAAAUAAAUCAAUCACUGAUUUGAAAUUUUUGAACUGUGGACAUUAUAACCUUCUUCACCAUAGCUUUUUAAAGUCACAUUUGCCAUGGAGAGGGUUUCUAAUAAUUUAAAUAUUGAACUUAGCAUUGUGCACUAAUUGCAUGGCAAUUGGCCAUUUUAUUUUUCUUUGACAUUGAAAUUCAAGCUAAACUGGAUUUUCACAUGUGGAUUUUCGUUCUUUCUUUCCUUCUCUCUCUUCCCCCUCCUCUUCCUCCAGUGCCCACUGCUGAAUAUAAGUUACUGUCCU